This is a non-coding RNA of Misgurnus anguillicaudatus (oriental weatherfish), 1386 nucleotides long. Lineage: Eukaryota; Metazoa; Chordata; Actinopteri; Cypriniformes; Cobitidae. The record is from RefSeq and is a predicted model, not a curated record.
AAUAAUAAAUAUGUUUAUCCUUAUUAAAAGACGAAAUGUAGAAAAUGUUAUUUUGGGCAGUUAAUCCAAAGGUGUCAAUGUGCAAUUUACAAACAAUGCAAUAAACAGAUAAAUUAAUAAUUCAGUCUGCACUAAUAUACAUCAAACAAAAGUAUUUUAAGUAUGUGUGCUUGUUUAAGUCUUUUUAGUUUUGUAUUUUAUUUUUUAUAAAUAAAUAAGACUUUACAUUAAAUUGUGUUUACAAUUAAAAAAUACGACUAACUAAUACUAAUAUUUAUUGGUGCACUUUCGUUUCUAAAACAAUGACAUAUAUUGCAAUGCACCUUGGAAAUAGUAGUCAUUUAACCUCAACAGCGUUCAAUCCGCUGUGGAAAAUGGACUACCUUUCCCAUAAUGCAACUGGUCAUGAUCAGGAACUUCCGCGAAAUUCAAACCCCCACUGUGUACUGGAUGAAGGACACGCGAUCGUUUGUCUUGUGGAGUUUUAUAUAACACAGUAAGAUGUCAUGUACCACACUUUGUCAACAAUAAAUGUUGUUUCUGCAAUCUGGAUAAAGAAUAAUAUAUUACUGCCUCUUGGAGAACAGCCGGCCGUACUCCAGACAGAGACAAAGACGUGAGGACAUCUAUUGCUUUUAAGUCAUGUAUCACACUUUGUCAACAAUGCAUGUUGUUCUUGCAAUCUGGAUGAAGAAUAAUAUAUUACUGCCUCUUGGGAAAACAGCAGACUGUACUCCAGACAGAGACAAAGACAUGAGGACAUCCAUUGCUUUUAAGUCCUAUACCAGACUAUGUUGUUCCAGCUGUCUGGGUAAAGACUGAUACAUUACUGCCUCUUGGAGAACAGCAAACCAUUCUCCAGACAGAGACAAAGACAUGGACAUCAAAACAGAAAAUUAAGUACUUGAUCUUGGAUUGUUUGGAGUGAACGCUGGAAAAUAAUGAAGCAGGAAAUUAAAAUGCUUGACUAAAACAAUUUUUAGAAAUCCUUCUGGAACUCUGAAAUCUGCAAACAUAUUUUUUCCCAUGUCUUGAAUUGAAUGUUAAAAGUAUCAGUUCUUGGACUGGCAGUGUGUACUAUAUCAUUUUUUCCUUACUCUUAUUCAUUUUAUGUAAAUGUAUUUUCUAACUGUAUUUUAUGAUUUUUUCUGUAGGCUGUAAGAAGUCCUUUGUGUGCACAGACAUGACUGGAGAUUAAAGUUACUAAAUGUUGCUUUUUUUCUAGCUGGUGUCAUAAAUACAUUUGAAAAUAAUACCAUGUUAUCUAAUACACAUUUGCACAUCUGUAAACAUUCAUUUUAUAUAGGAUGUUUUUUAUAUUUAACCAGUUGUUGUAUAUUGCUUUCUGUUAUUACAUCUGGGUUUUUUUGUCUGUUUAUUGUUUAA